This is a long non-coding RNA of Mastomys coucha (southern multimammate mouse), 742 nucleotides long. RefSeq lists it as uncharacterized. The transcript is spliced from 2 exons. NCBI's taxonomy places the organism in Eukaryota, Metazoa, Chordata, Mammalia, Rodentia, Muridae. The record is from RefSeq and is a predicted model, not a curated record.
AUGAAAAAGACCAAGUGCGGCUGUGCACAGCAUUGUUGGCCGAGUGAUGAACAAAGGAGCCAGCCACAAAGGAGAAGGCAGUGCAUGGAGUCACUCACUUAAAAGCAAAUAAGGCUCUGACCUUUCCAAAUUGUGGGAGCUGCUUCUGUGUGCAUUUCAAGGCUCAUGUGCUGGAGCCUCAUGUCUGCGGAGAAGCCUGGGUGUAAACUAAAGGGAGCAAGCAUUAUCUGGAAUCCAAGAGUACACACUGGGACCCACAGGAUGGGCGAGAACUCCCUCUGCUUUUGAUGAGGCAGGCCUCUUGCUGGAGAAGCUGGUGCCCACUUCACACAGCUAAAUGCACACCUGGCCCAAGUGAGAGGGAUUCCAGGAGGGAGUAGAGCAUUGCCAGACCUACUGCUGCCUGCACGGAGGAGGUGACCUGGCAAGGAAGCACCCCUACAACUGUUACCUCUCUUCCAUGGCCUUCUAAAAUGUCACUGUGCCCACUGAAACUAAAAUUAUUUCAGAGGAAGAUCUCCGAGAAACAGCUCAGCCUAGUAAGUUGGCAGAUUAUAAAGCUGCCUCUUAAUGGCACUGACUCCGACCUGCUGUGUUGCUUUGUUUUUCCUGGAAGUACUAGGGAUCGAACCUGUGACCUUGAACAUGCUAUCUCAGCACUUCAUCACUGAGCUGCAUCUCCAGACUCCACUCUGGCACUUUCUGUAGAACAAAAUAAAAGACUAGCUAAGGCUCUUUCUUA